GAUGAACGCUGGCGGCGUGCCUAAUACAUGCAAGUCGAACGCACAGCGAAAGGUGCUUGCACCUUUCAAGUGAGUGGCGAACGGGUGAGUAACACGUGGACAACCUGCCUCAAGGCUGGGGAUAACAUUUGGAAACAGAUGCUAAUACCGAAUAAAACUCAGUGUCGCAUGACACAAGGUUAAAAGGCGCUUUGGCGUCACCUAGAGAUGGAUCCGCGUUG
RNAcentral lists this ribosomal RNA (221 nucleotides) under uncultured bacterium. RNAcentral describes it as "partial 16S ribosomal RNA". It matches the Rfam family "Bacterial small subunit ribosomal RNA", at positions 28 to 238 of the family's 1533-position model. The record is from RNAcentral.